AGCUAUAUCCCUAUCUUGCAAACACUUAUUUUUUCUGAAACAAAAAUUAUAGUUCCUGAAUCUAAGGAUAUCUUUAUGUAGCUCAGGGCUGGCCUUGUACUCCUGGUAUUUCUGCCUUUGCCUUUUAAGUGUCAGGAUUACAGACAUGUACCACUAUACCCAGAUAAAAGUGGCUUUUACAUACUUGUCACUAUUGUAUUACCACCAUGCUCAGUGAGUGAAUCUAUUCCACUAUAAUUUAUCUACAAUAUACACAGGUCUACCAUCCUCCACUCCCCACCAGUGGGGAGCCUGGCACCAAAGAUAUUCCUCAGUCUUCCUACCUUGGUGACCCAUUCAGUAUGCCCAGUGAGUGUAUUCAGGCAUGUCCCAGCAGAUAAAGCCCAUACUUUCACAGCGAAGUCCGCAGAGCCACUCACCAAAAUAUCCAGUUCAUCACUGUAGUCCACACUGAACACUAGUGCAUACAACAUAAAGUUAAAAACACGCUUCACUGUCACUGCAUCUUUGUAAAAACAGUAACAUUUAUUCUCUUAGCUGUACAAAUACAUAACUUCCUAACCAGGGCACAUUAAGAGCUGAACUACUAAACUAGCAAUUUUAUGAUACAAAGAAAAUCUUUUUCAAAACUAUUAUUACCAUAGUUUAUCCUAAGGUUGAAAAAGCUUUGAGGAUAACUCAAAGAAUUCACUUUUUCCUAUUUGUGCUAGCUUCAGUGAGAUGGAAAUGAUGGCAUCCCCUUUUGCCUGCUUGAUACCACACAUACACCUUAGGUAGUUUAUAGGAAAACAGCAGCCCAGACACCCCUUUUAAGAUCUGCAGUGAUAGUAAAGCACACUCAGGCUCCUAAAGGGCCAGGGCAGAGAAAACAAGGAUCUUAGAAGUCAGACUUAGUCAUCCAUUCAGUGGUGUCUAAAUUUCUUCACAUCAUACACCUAGCAACUAGUUCAAAACAUGCAGUGAAUAUUCAAUAUCUGUUUUUAAAUGUCUAUCAAACUCAAAGGAUAUUGGGGACCUAAAGAUGAAGAUGCUGGUCUUCAAAAACUCUGAGGGAAAAGUUACGUUUUUGUUUUUGUUUUUAAAGGUUACCUGUUGCUAGAGAAAUACUGAAGAUAAUGACUAAUCUGCCCAGGCUAUCAGAUAGGACUUCAGAGAAGAUAACAUAUUGGAGCUGGGACAUGAAGGAUGUGUAUAGUUUAUUAAGAAAAUAAAAAGAUGCUUCAGGUAGAGCAGACAGCAAAGGCAUGGAUUAAAAGCUCAGAGGUGUCAAGAAGCCUUUUUAGAGGUAAGGAAUGAAAUCACCUAGAAGCUGUGGUGUCCUUAGGCUGUGUGGUAUUACUCUAAUGGAUGGGGUCUGUACUAAGCCAUAGAUUUUUCUUUUGUUUGCUUUUUGAGACAGGGUUUCUCCAUAUAGCUCUGCUGUCCUGGAACUCGCUAUGUUGACCAGGCUGGCCUCAAACCCAGAGAUCUGCCAGCCUCUGUCUACCAAGUGCUGGGAUUAAAUGUGUGUUCCACUACACUUGGCUACAAACCAUAGAUUUCUAAAUAAGAACAGAUUAAAAAAAUUUUUUUUAAUAUGAGUUUAAUUGGAGGAGUGUUUUGUAAGAGUUAG
RNAcentral lists this long non-coding RNA (1612 nucleotides) under Mus musculus (house mouse). RNAcentral's name for it is "long non-coding RNA chr2:34810659-34812271". Lineage: Eukaryota; Metazoa; Chordata; Mammalia; Rodentia; Muridae. The record is from RNAcentral.